Long non-coding RNA from Homo sapiens (human), 12731 nucleotides. RefSeq lists it as uncharacterized. NCBI's taxonomy places the organism in Eukaryota, Metazoa, Chordata, Mammalia, Primates, Hominidae. The transcript is spliced from 2 exons. The record is from RefSeq and is a predicted model, not a curated record.
AGAAGCAAGCUUCGUGUCAUGCAGCAGAGGCUGUCUGAUUUAUGUAUCAGGAACCAGCAGGUUCCUGAACCCGCUUCCUGUAUCACUGGGACUUUUUCUGCUUGUGUCUUGAGGAUUGCUCAUCUCCCAUGAGGCUUUAAAUCACUUUUUUGUUCUCAAGAAGCAGGCUUCUCAAGAAGCCAGGCACUUAGCCUAUGGGAGCCAGGAAAGGGGGUGUGUAGUCACCUCGGCCAAAACCCGGCUUUGGGCAGAAACAUGCGCCCCAGCUUCUUUCCUUAGCUGUCUCCAGGAACCGGAUGUUGCAGAUUCUCUGAGCAGUUCUCUCCGAUGACACCUCAACAUGCAGUCUGGUGCAGGUGCCACUGUCACACAGAGAUGGGAAGGGCAUGUGCGGGUCACUUGGAAGAAACCCUGUGACCCCGAUGAGUGCAAUGUGGUAUAAUUUAGUAGCCCAUGCUCCUAGUUUGUCUUCUUGCAUGUGUGUGGAUUCCCUCCCAGGCAGGGAUGUAGGACAAAUCUAUCCCAGAGCUCCAUCCUUCCAGCUCAGUCUCCUUGUUGUGUGUGUGUUUUCUCCUCUAAUUUUUAACGUCUGUGGGUACAUAGUAGAUAUACAUAUAUGUGUGUGUGUGUGUGUGUGUGUGUGUGUGUGUGUGUGUGUGUGUAUGUAUAUAUAUAUGUAUGGGGUAUGCAUAUAUUUGUAUGGGGUAUAUGAGAUAUGUUGAUAGAGGCAUGCAAUAUGUAAUAAUCACACAGGGUAAAUGGGAUAUCCAUCACCUCAAAUAUUUAUCCUUUGUGUUACAAACAGUGCAAUUAUAUUUUUAUUUUUAAAUGUGCAAUUAAAUUAUUAUUGACUAUAGUCACACUGUUGUAUUAUCAAAUACUAGUUCUUAUUCAUUCUUUCUAUUUUUUUGUACCCAUUAACCAUCCCCACUUCUUCCCCAACCCCCACUACCCUUCAGCCUCUGGUAACCAUCCUUCUACUCUCUAUGCCCACAAGUUCAAUUGUUUUAAUUUUUACCUCUCACAAGCAAGUGAGAACGUGCAAAGUUUGUCUGUCUGUGCCUGGCUUAUUUCACGUAACAUAAUGAUCUUCAAUUCCAUCCAUGUCAUUGUGAAUGACAGGAUCUAAUUCUUUUUUAGCUGAAUAGUACUUCAUUGUGUAUAUGUACCACAUUUUCUUUAUCCACUCAUCGGUGAUAGACGCUUAGGUCGCUUCCAACCUUGGCUAUUGUGAAUAGUGCUGUAAUAAACAUGGGAGUACAGAUAUCUCUUCAAUAUACUGAUUUCUUUUCUUUUAGGUGUAUACCUACCAGUGAGAUUGUGGAUCAUAUGGUAGCUCUAUUUUUAGUUUUUUGAGGAACCUUCAAACCAUUCUCCACAGUGGUUGUACUAACUUAUAUUCCCAACAACAGUGUACAAGGGUACUUUUUCUCCACAUCCUUGUCAGCAUUUGUUAUUACCUGUCUUUUGGAUAAAAGCCAUUUUAAUUUAAUUGGGGCUGUGUUGUAUUCUGGGAGUUGCCUUUAUUUUGGAGUUUGUGUCUAACUUUUCAUUGAGGAGAAGGAACUAGUAUUGGCAGAAGGAGGAUCCCGCCCUUUUUCAUGAGUUAAACUAUAAGAAUGGGAUACUGGAAGUGUAACCAAUGCUCACAGGGAGACUUGAAAGAGUAGGGAAGUGUUUUUAGAGUCCAUUGUAACAGGUCAUAGGCACUCUCUGAUGGGCCUCCCCAUGGGGAUCAGGUAAUAAAAGCUGGUGAGAUAUGUGAACUUUAUCCUCACUGUUUUCUUCCUUCCUUUCCCCAGCACUCAACUGUCCUCCUCACAACUAUUCCCAGUGGUGUGUGCUCGAGUCAGCAUGUACCAACUCAUAAAAUUGUUAAAUUUUCAGGAAUCUGGAUGGGCACAGUGGCACGCCUGUAACCCCACCAUUUGUGGAGGCCUAGGUGGGAGAAUUUUUGAGGCCAAGAGUUUGAAAAUAGUCUGGGCGAUAGAGUGAGACCUCAUGUCUACAAACAAUUUUUUUUAAUAAAAAUAAAAAAUAGAUUUUCAGGAAUCUUGUGAGGUGCUUGAUGAACAUGGCCAUUAUUAAACAUAUAAAAUUAAAUUAAAUUAUAUAAACUUACAGUUAAGCUGGGCAUGGUGGUACAUGCCUGUAGUCCCAGGUACUUGAGAGGCUGAAGCAUGAGGACCCCUUGAGCCCAAGAGUUUGAGGCUGUAGUAUCUUUAUAGCAGUGUGAAAACGGACUAUCAUGAUCAUGCCUGUUGGUGUGGUUUGCCGCUGUGUCCCCACCCAAAUUUUAUCUCGAAUUGUAAUCCCCAUAAUCCCCAAGUGUUGAGAAAGGGACAAGGUGGGAGGUGAUUGGAUCAUGGGGGCAGUUUCCCCUCCAUGCCGGUCUUAAGACAGUGAGUGAGUUCUCACAAGAUUGGAUGGUUUUAUAAGGCAGUAUUUUCUGCUCUUGGCUGCUCUUCUCUCUCCUACUGUGAUGUGAAGAAGGUCCUUGCUUCUCCUUUGCCUUCCACCAUGAUUGUAAGUUUCCUGGGGCCUCCUUAGCCAUGUGGAACUGCAAGUCGAUUAAACCUUUUUCCUUUAUAAAUUACCCAGUCUUGGGUAGUAUCUUUAUAGCAGUGUGAGAGUGGACUAAUACACCUGUAAAUAGCCGCUGCACUCCAGCCUGGGCAACAGAGCAAAACCCUGCCUUUAAAAAAAACUUCACAACUAAAUAAAUUAUAUUAAAUAGAGGGAAUAAAAUCUCAAAGCUCAUUGUUUCUUAAUUAUUUUAUGACAUUACUGAUAUCUAUGUUCUUGAGGUAAUUGACAUCUCUUAUGUGUCUACAGUGGAAAUUAAAUACUGGAACAUUGGUGCUUCUGGACCUCUCUUCCCCACUCUGCAUUCAAUGGCAUAGUGUUGGGAGCUUGAAACUGGCCAUGGUGAGAGUUUAUGCCAUGGAAAUCAGCAAGCAAUAUAAAUCAGAACUUUACUGUUUUGUUGAUUGUCUAAAUGUAAGAAAGUAAUAGAGAAAACAUAAUGAUGCAGAGUAAACUUAAACAUGUGCCAUGACUAUGGCCCUUACAUUAGGAUUAGCAUAAAAAAUUGAGGAAACAUUUUUCCAGUAUUCAAAAACUAUCAUCUGAUUCAGCAAAAAGUCACUAGUGUCACUGAUGAGCAAGUGAUGUUCCAACAUAUGUUUUUGUUGUUUCACAUUUCUUUAACUUCAAAAAAGACAUUAACCAACAUUCAUGUUGGAACUACAUUCCUUUGUCACUUGUAAACACAGUUUGGCUGUGGAUAUGAAUUAAGCCAAUAUGAAAGCAAACAGCCUGUGAGAUCUGUGGCUAUAUGGAAUUUACAAUAAAGAGGAUUGUACAUUUUAUUAAAAUACAAUAAAUUUUAUUUUAUAAAUUGCGUGUUACACAUUCUUCGUAUAAGCAAAAUUUAUAACAAGCUCAUUUACAUAUAUGCAUAUAUUAUUUUUCAGAGAUCUGGCUCUUAACCAUUUACCAACACACCACUGUUACAAUAACUGAGAAUCCAAAUGGUGGAGUGAAUGGCAUACUGUCUACGUAUUCAUAAAAUAUCAGUUGAAAUAACUAAAUGAUGUGAGAAUAUUGGCAUCCUGUAAAAAUGGGAAACCAAUGAUCCAGGUCUGAUUUCAAGACUGGUGUUCUCUCCUCAAGCUGCACGGCUCCUGGAAUGCAUGCUGUCUAUUCAUGUCAAACCUUCCUCUCUCAAAGACAGACACUUAUUCUCUUGUUUACUUUGCCCUUCCUCUCAUUUCCAGAAUUAGACCUUCUCUAGACUCGCUAUGAGGCCUCUCCACUCUGAUCUCCUGGAUCCCCUCUACACAGAUAACUGAGCUAAUGCUAGGCACUAUAUGAAGAGUUUUCCUGUUUGGUGCAAUCUAGAACUAAAUAAAAACAUACAUUGAAUGAGGGUCAGAAAUGGUUUAGAUGAAGGUUCUGAGGUUCUAGAGUGGAUUCUAUAUAGAGUCCUCUCUGCCCCCAAAUUCUUCUUCACCUGGAACGUCAGAAUGUGGACUUAUUUGGAAUCAGGAUCUUUCAGAUGUAAUUAAGGUAAGAAUUGAGAUGAGAUUAUACUGGGUGAAUCAGAGUGAUCCCCAAAUCCAAUGAGAGUAGUGCAUCUUUCUAAGAAAUAGAAAAAGGACACACAGAGACACAAAGAAGAUGGCCAUGUGAAAAGACAAAGCAGAGACUAGAGCUAUGCAGCCACAAUUCAACGAACACCAGAGACCACCAGACGCUGGAAGAGGCAGAGAAAGAUUCUCCCCUUGAGCUUUCAGAAGGAGCAGGUCUUGCCAAUAUGUUAAUUUUAGACCUUGUGCCUACAGAACGGUGGGAGAAUGAAUUUCUGUUGUUUUAAGUCAUCAGGCUUGUGAUAAUUUUUUACAGCAGCCACAGGAAACUAAUACAGGACCUGAGGGGCAAUGUGACUAACCAGAGAUUUGCAGUUAGUACAUUUAGUAUACUGAGCUGCUUCCUUGAGCUAUUAAGAGCAGAUGUCAACAGACCAACAACAGAAGAUAUACAGGUGAUAGUGCCUUGUAGUUACAAAGCCAUUUUCAAAAGCCUUCACAUUCACAGCCUUAUUUGAUCCUCCUAACAGCCCUGCAAAGGAGCUGGUGGUGUUUGUAAGGCAGGAUCUGGACCAAACUUGGGAAUCCUGACACUGAUCAGAGCUCUUUCCUUUUUCCUGGUGAGUAUCACCAUGAAUACUCAAGAGAAUAAGGAGGAAGGAAAUCUUGCUAUUGAACUCCCUGGAUGCCUGGGGUUUCCACAGUGUUACUUCAUUGAUCUUGGUAGCAGUAAGAAGCAGGAGUAGUUAUCCCCAUUUUACAAAUUGAAGUAUAGUGCUGCUAAAUAACUUGCUCAAUGGCUCAGAGCCAAAAAAAAUGCAAGAGUUGGAUUCAAACCCUGGAUUAUCUGACUCCAGAGUCUGUGCUCUAUCCAUUCACCAUACCACUUGCAUUAUACCAAGUGUGGGGAAAAGAAAGAGAGAUCAGACUGUUACUGUGUCUAUGUAGAAAGAAGUAGACAUAAGAGACUCCAUUUUGUUCUGUACUAAGAAAAAUUCUUCUGCCUUGAGAUGCUGUUAUCUGUAACCCUACCCCCAACCCUGUGCUCGCUGAAACACGUGCUGUGUCAACUCAAGGUUAAAUGGAUUAAGGGCUGUGCAGGAUGUGCUUUGUUAAACAAAUGCUUGAAGGCAGCAUGCUUGUUGAAAGUCGUCACCACUCCCUACUCUCAAGUACCCAGAGACACAAUACACUGCGGAAGCCCACAGGGACCUCUGCCUAGGAAAGCCAGGUAUUGUCCAAGGUUUCUCCCCAUGUGACAGUCUGAAAUAUGGCCUUGCGGGAAGGGAAAGACCUGACCGUCCCCCAGCGUGACACCUGUAAAGGGUCUGUGCUGAGGAGGAUUAGUAAAAGAGGAAGGCCUCUUUGCAGUUGAGAUAAGAGAAAAGCAUCUGUCUCCUGCUCGUCCCUGGGCAAUGGAAUGUCUCGGUGUAAAAGCUGAUUGUAUAUUCCAUCUACUGAGAUAGGAGAAAACCACCUUAGGGCUGGAGGUGAGACAUGCUGGAGGCAAUACUGCUCUUUAAGGCAUUGAGAUGUUUAUGUAUAUGCACCUCAAAAGCACAGCACUUUUUGCUUUACCUUGUUUAUGAUGCAGAGACAUUUGUUCGCAUGUUUUCCUGCUGGCCCUGUCUCCACUAUUACCCUAUUGUCCUGCCACAUCCCCCUCUCUGAGAAACACCUGAUAAUGAUCAAUAAAUACUAAGGGAACUCAGAGACUGGUGCUGGUGCGGGUCCUCCAUAUGCUGAGCGCUGGUCCCCUGGGCCCACUUUUCUUUCUCUAUACUUUUUCUCUGUGUCUCUUUCUUUUCUCAAGUCUCUCAUUCCACCCGACGAGAAACGCCCACAGGUGUGGAGGGGCAGGAAUCUUAGACAGUCUUCAGGCUCUUAUUGGCCAAUGGCUCAUUAUCUGUGAAACAUUCCUUCUGGCACAGGCCACAGCGUGGGCAGUAGGAGAAUCCUAGGUGAGCACUAUUUCCCAUCCUGGCCUCCCGUGUCUGUGGCUCAGCACCAUUCUUUCCCUUUGGUGAUGCAGAGCCCCAACCUGAGAAUGAGGAGGACUAUAUUUCUGUAGAAAAUAGCCUUCCCCAAAAAACCUCAAGUGGGUUAUGCAUGGAAGCCAUCUCCUACCUCUUAAACUCUUCAAUGGGUCCCUAAGCCUUGCCACUCUCUCUCCUGACACUGUGGCUACGGGCACCAACGUCACCUGCCUGACAGUGUCUGGUCUGGACUGCUCCUGAGUGUCUUGGCUUCCCAGCCAAAGGUCAUCAUCAUCACAGCCUCUGACCAGAGGUCCCCUAUAGCAUGAACUGACCCCACAGAGAAGGGCCACUAAGGCCAGAUCACCUGGCCACAUGGAGCUCAUCAUGAGCACAUUUAUCUGGAUAAGGAAAAAAAAACCUGCAAAACCAAAAUGAAAAUACAGAAUUUCCCCAAACUCCGAAACCUCUCCUAGUAGACCUGACUGAAGAGUCUAAAACUGGCCUGGGGAAAGCACUGGGAAAAAACACCCUGGGGUCCACCCUGCUGGGUAAGAUGAGGAAGCCCACAGGGCAGAUGGCUGAUAUGGAGGCUGAGCAGACUAGUCAACCAGAUAGCCCUGUUGUGGCGCUGGGGCUGUUAGGGUUGAGGGGAGAGUGGAAAGAAAACUGGGCUUUGAAGUGGCUCUAGCCCAGAUCCAGGCCCAGGCUCUACUCAGCUCCUUUAUGCUGAAUGUUCAUGCCUGCCAUCAGCUCCCUGGCCAGAUGGAUGAGCUGAGUGAUCAGGCCUGGGGAGGAGGGCUGAAAAUCCCACUGGCAGUGCCUUCUUCCCCGUAUCCAGUCUGUGGUGCUGGGAGUGCCCACUGCAAGGCCCUCACCAGGUGUCUCACAUCAGUACCUCCUCCAGCAGUUCAGACCUGCUUUAGGGAACUGGAAUCUGGAAGUGGAGAGACAUCUGAGGGUCUUUGCCAUCUGAGGACUUCCUCUCAAACUGCUGUCAUUUCCACUGAUGCUCCUCCAUCCUUCCAGACCCCAGACCCAAUAUGUGGGGAUCCCUGCCUUCCUGGGGCCUGCGCUGAACUGACUCUGAAUUCUUCAUGUCCCUUAAGGGGUGACUGUGACCGAGAAAGAGUCACUGCUUCACAGACUCUCUCCACAGCAUUUUUAGAAGCAUUCAUGGUAGGAAUGGGGUGCUUCCUACUACCUUUCAAAUGACCUCAUGCGGCAGUCAUGUAAUUUGCUAGCCUGCUUUUUACUGGCAUACAUUGUUAAAGAAAGGGAAAUGCCCAUGCCACUCUACUCCUCUAGGAAGGAAUAGGGUUCAGGAACUGGUGACAGUGGCUAUUAAGUCACCAGCCUCAGAUCUUUUCUGUGCUCCAAAAACUGCCUCCCAUAACCCUGGUCUGCGUUCUUAGACAGAGUGGUAGAUAGAAGAUAAUUUGCAAAGUACCCUGGAAACCCUGGAUAACCACUAUCGGAAGCAGAAUUCAUUUCUGUCUCUGAAUAGUUCUGGUCCUUAACUAACCAAUGACCUCCCUGAGAAACAGAGACAGCUGGGGAAAUGGGGGCUGUGUGCUCCAUGAAGUCAUCUAAUGACCCUCUGAGAUACUCAUGGGCCAUUUAUGCAGUCCAGAGCAGCGAUUCCUGCACCGUCACACCAAAGAGGUGGGCUGACCUGAAGUGAGUCCAGGAAAGAGGGGAGAGCUAGGACACUUAAGCUGCUUGGAAAAGCUAGCUAUAGGGUAGAAAUCUUCAGUGAAGAAUUCUAACUGGGACCACUGGAGAGAGAGGUGAAUUGUGGAAAGUAACUCCAGAUGAAGCCGAGUGGUGGAAGCCCAAUCCACCUGCUUCUCCAUCCACUUGCCUCUUCUCCAUCCACCCACCUCUUCUCCAUCUACGUGCCUGCCCCAGCACUGACCAUGAGAAAACCAUUUCAUUGGUUUAAAAUAUAGUGAUUCUAAACAUCCUUUAAUGAUAUAUAUAUACUUACAUGGAGUAACAAAUCUAAUUGUCUACCACUUAAUGACUUUAUCAGAUAACACUGCUAGUUAAGAGAAAAAUAUUUAGGAAUUGUAGUCUUUUUUUGACUUUAGGGUUCCAUCCUCCAAUGGUUAAUUUUAUGUGUCAACUAGAUGGCAUUAUGAAGUGGCCAGAUUAAACAGUAUUUCUGAAUGUGUCUGUGAGGGUGUUCUGGAUGAGAUUAGCAUUUGAAUCAUGGACUCAGGAAAGUAGAUUGCCCUCCUCAGUGUGGUGGGCAUCAUCCAAUUCAUUGAGGGCCUGACUAGAACAAAAAGGCAGAAAGAGGAAUUUGUCCCUUUUGCUUCCCGCCUGCCUGUUGAGCCCUUGUACUGGGAUUUACACCAUCAGCUCCCCUGGUUCUCAGGCCUUCAAACUCGAACUGGAAUUACACCACUGGCUUUCCUGGAUCUCCAGCUUGCAGACAGCAGGUCAUGAAACUUCUCAGUCUCCAUAAUCACAUGAGCCAAUUCCUCAUAAUAAAUCUUUUUAUGUAUAUAUAUCCUGUUGAUUCUGUUUCUCUGGAGAACCCUAACUAAUAUUCAUCUCCUCUUUUAAAAAUCACAAAUGUAAUAUAGCACUGAAGGAAAUGUCUUUAAAAGAAAGAAAAUAAAAUGUGAUCCACGUAUAGUGGCUUAUGCCUGCAAUCCUAACACUUUGGGAGGCCAAAGCAGGAGGAUCAUUUGAGGCCAAGAGUUUAAGAUCAGCCUGGGCAACAUAAUGAGACCCCAGCUCUACAAAAAAAAGUUUUUUUUUAAUUAGCCAAGCAUGGUGGCACAUGCCUGUAGUCCCAGCUACUUAGGAGGCAGAGAUGGGAGGAUUGCUUGAGCCCAGAAGUUCAAGAUUACAGUGAGCUAUGUUUGUACCAUGCAGUCCAGCCUGGGUGACAUAGUGAGACCCUGUCAAAAAAAAAAAAAAAAAAAGAAAAAGGAAAAAAGAAAGAAAGGAAAAUCUGCCAUCAUUUUUUAACUAUCACAACUGCUUUCAAGUUUGCAAUUUUCCAAACCUUUCUUUAUAAGGCAGCAGACGAGUUUAGAACUCUAGCUACAUGGUCAGAUAGUCCUGGGCCCACGUCCCCAUUCUGUUAUUUAUAAAUCAUCCCAUGUUAGGUAAGUUAUUUAAUCUCUCUAAGCCACACUUGCCUCAUCAGUAACAGAGUUAAGAUGAAAAAAAAUCUCAUAGGGUUGUUGGGAGAAGUAAAUGGCAUAAAUACAAGUAAGAUGUUCACUGCAGUGCCUGACAUGUGAAAGCCAUUUUGCAUUUGGUGUCUAUCACUUUUUAUGGUUUCCUGAGGUGGUCAUGAUUAAUUAAAUGACGAACACCAUAAAGCUGGAGCUGGGGAUGCACAGGAAGUUCUGCUGUGUUGUCAAGAUCAAGGACACUCCUCAGAGACAUGGAGCAGAAUGCUUCAGGCACCCUACAAAUGAAUGUCAUUCCUGGGCAUCUCUAUUGGAGGCAACAAUAACUUUGCAACAUAAAUUAGGGACAAAAACACACUAUAGACUAUUAAGACCUUUUAGCAAUUGAAGAGAGAGAUGGAUUUGAUGUGAUAAGUGUUUUAAAGUCCUGUUAUAAAAGAAUUGAAAUUUCUCAGCAUAGACUAUCCCAUUUCAUAAAGAAAAUAUCAGUGUAUAAUAUGUAACAGGAAGAGUUAUAUAUGUAGACUAUGAAUCAGAACAGAAAAUGUGAAACAGAAUGAAAAUGUGAACUGAACCCUUGGCCACACCUGAUGCAGUUUCACAGAAUCCACGUGUGGAGGGAUUGGAAGACAAUACCAAAAUCACACAGUACAGUAAAUGCAGUUAGUGUUUAUUUUCAUUGUAUAAAAUACCUCUGAGGUUCUCAUUCUGUAUGGCGGGCUUGGUCGCUUCAAUUUAUCUUUUUGCUUUAUUAUACAAUUUCAAGUAAAAAAUGCCUCUGGGUAUCAUCGUAAGUAAACAUCUGAUAGGCUAAUCUCGAAUAAUAAUUACAGUUAAGAUUCUGGUGCCUGGGAUAGACACCAAGUGCCUUUUACUAAGCAGCGGCUUAAGUGAAGUUUUUUCUUGCCUCAGUGGGUUAUUCAUUCCAGAAGAACAUUUGUAACUACAGUCACUGGGUUGCACAUAGUUUUGUAUUUUUUUAAAUUUAACAUAAUACGUUACAAUGACUCACAGGUUGUUGCCUAGUUUAAUGAAGAACAAUUUCUUAAAGAACAUUGUGUUCAUUAUCUCUCCUCGAAAAAAGAACAAAUGAAGAUCAUGAGAUUGUUUAAAAUGUCAAAUUUUGAAAAGCGUUCUAUGGAGUAAAAGAAGUAAAGAUCAUACUCAGAGAUAGACACUUCCUUCUUUAGUUUUAUUGUUUCUAAAUUUUGCUUUGUUGAGCAAGACCAUAGAGUUAAAACAACAAGGAGUACGUUUUAUCUUAAGAAAUUUUCCCAGGGGUGAAUAAGUCAGUUAAGAGGCAGCCUCUUUUUCUGUUGUAUUUGUCUUUAAGAAGGAUGGCUCAUGAUGCCCAGUUCUGAUGACAGAACCUGGAUAAAGACUAUUAAAAUGAACUCUGGUCUUGUCUGGGCCCCAACUGGCUGGGAUAUUGUGCUGCAUGCUCAGAUGGCAUUUUGAGACCCAGCCGUCCUUCUUGGAUUUCCCUCCAGCCAGAACCUCCAGCAAAAGUUUCUGUGGAGACAUUUCGCCUGCAGCUUAGAAUAUCUACUAUUUCUCCUGGAUGAGACUCCCACUCCAUAAGAAAAUCCUUCCCUGGAACAGAGGGCUGGGAGAAAGACAAGCAAUUACCGUUGCUUCCUAUAUUGUUUACUGAACUCUUUAAAACACAAGAAUCUAUUUUAAGAACAUGGGUCCUUAAUUUGGCUUGCUCACGGAAGUAUGGUAUGUCAUGGGACUACAAGAAGAUGAAAAUUCUACAGCAGUACAGCUGAACUUUUCCAAGAGCUCAGCACCAGGUUUAACCUUACUAUUAUCCACAGGUAAUUCACAGAUGAGGAAACUGAAGCUUAGAGAGUUAAAUAACUUGCUUGAGGUGACGCAGUAAAUAAAUAGCAGACGCAGUACUUGGAUAUAAUCUCUACUGCCUCUUACCACACUGGCCCAGGAUACAUGCUGUUUAGCAAAGCCAUUAUCGGAGUCCUUCAUAUCUAGGGGCAAGAAGGCCAGAUAAGGAGAGACCAGGGAAAGAGAAUAGCAGUGAUCCUAUGCCCUCCCUUUAUGACAUUCCUUCUAAGUUCUUGCCCCACAUCCUAAUCUACUUAUCAUUAAGAAUUUUUAACUCUUGACUUCCUUUAGUCUUUCCCGUCUUCUUAGAAACUCCUCCAGCCUUGGCCUGGGGCGCUCUCUUUCUCCCCACUCCUUUCCGCCCUUUGACCUGUCUAGCUCCCAGGAGAUUUCUUGCCACUGGCCCAGGUCAACAAACAGACUCAUCAGGGGCCUGCCGUAAGCAUGAUUCUGCUCUUCUUAUCCUGAGUUAUACACUGAGGCUCCACAGGCCCUGAUAUUUCUGACGCAAGACAGGUGAGAUCCAAUAUUGGGGCUUAGCCCAGGAAGGCUCUUGGCUUUGCCCAAGAAAGAAUUCAAGUGUGAGCUGCUGGUGUUAAACAACAACUUUUACGAAGUGACAGUGUGCAGCAGCAGGACAUAUACUGUUCCUUGCAGAGCAAGGCUACCCCAUAGGCUGUGUGCCCAGAGUAGCAGGUCAGAGGCAGUUAUGCACUCACAUUUAUACCCACUUCUAAUUAUAUGCAAAUUAAGGGGCAAUUUAUGCAGAAAUUUUUAGGAAAAGGGUGGUAACUUCCUGGUUGUCAGGUCAUUGCCAGGGAAAGGGGCGGUAAUUUCUGAGUGUUGCCAUAGCAAUGGUAAACUGACAUGGUACACUGGUGGGUUUGUCUUAUGGAAAACUGCUUCCACUCCAGCCCUGUUUCAGCUAGUCCUCAACUUGGUCCUGUGUCUGAGCCCUGCUUCCAGAGUCAAGUCCCACCUCCUACUUUACUUCCACUAUUUGACAGACUCAUGGCUCUCUAUUUGGGAUCUUAGAUAUUUGGCUCCACUAUUGCCCAGUUCUGCUCUUCCUUGAAUGAUUAAUGUUUGGACAAUUUAUACUGCCACCCAAAGAAUCUGAGGGUUCAAGUUUGACCUUAUGCUAAUAAAAUUUUUAUGCCAAGUAAGUUUCUUUUUUUUUACGUUUUAGAUUCAAGGGGUGCAAGUGUAGAUUUGUUACAUGGGUAUAUUGUGCAAUGCUGGGAUUUGGACUUCUAUUGAACCCAUCACUCACAUAGUUAAUAUAAUACCCAAUAGGUAGUUUCCAACCCUUACCCUACUCCCUUGCUCCUCACUCUUGGGGUCCCCAGUGUCUGUCUAUUGUUUCCGUCUUUAUGUCUGUAUGUACCCAUUAUUUAGCUCCCACUUGCAAGUGAGGACAUGUGAUCAUUAAUUUUCUGUUUUUGUGUUAAUUUACUUAGGAUAAUGGCCUCGAGCUGCAUCCGUGUUGCUGCAGAAGACAUGAUUUCAUUCUUUUUUACAGCUGCAUAGUAUUCCACUGUGUAUACAUACCACAUUUUCUUUAUCCAGCCCACUGUUGAUGGGCACCUAAAUUGAUUCCAUGACUUUGCUACUGUGAAUAGUGCUGCAAUAAACAUAUGAGUACAGGUGUCUUUUUGAUAAAA